UACGUAGGGUGCAAGCGUUGUCCGGAAUUAUUGGGCGUAAAGAGCUCGUAGGCGGUUUGUCGCGUCUGCUGUGAAAGUUCGGGGCUCAACCCCGGAACUGCAGUGGGUACGGGCAGUCUAGAGUGCGGUAGAGGAGACUGGAAUUCCUGGUGUAGCGGUGGAAUGCGCAGAUAUCAGGAGGAACACCAUUGGCGAAGGCGGGUUUCUGGGCCGCAACUGACGCUGAGGAGCGAAAGCGUGGGGAGCGAACAGG
This 253-nucleotide ribosomal RNA is filed under the name uncultured bacterium. RNAcentral describes it as "partial 16S ribosomal RNA". It matches the Rfam family "Bacterial small subunit ribosomal RNA", at positions 524 to 776 of the family's 1533-position model. The record is from RNAcentral.